GAAAAAGUAAAUAUUUGUUUAUUUAUUAUUUAUACUUAAUUACAUCCACAUGUACAUGCACAAUGCCUCCAAAAAUCCCACCUCAUCACCUCCUGCACAAAAUUCCAUGCAUUAAAUAUUGAAAUUAUAAAUAUAACAAAUAAGAAUAAUUAAUCACCUGGGAUUGACAUUAUAUCCAGAUCUCUCACCAUUCUUUAUUCUAACUUUGAAAGACCAAUUAUUUGAUAAAAGCAUUCUAAACCAUGGAGAAAAGAAAGGAGAUAACAUGUCAAAAAUUAUUGACUUGAAUGUCCACACCCACCUCAAGAAAAAGAGCACACAAGCAACCCCCCCCCACUAAUUCCAAAACCACGCUUGGGAAUAAAUAUAUAUAUAUAUAUAUAUAUAUGUGUGUGUGUGUGUGUGUGUAUUUAUAUAUGAGAAGUUUUGGUCUUUCUUAAUUGUUGUUAUUAUUAAUAAUAUUUUUGUAUUUCGAAUUCAUUCUUAAAUAUUUGAGACAAAUAUAUGUUUUUAAUUUACUAAGGUUUUAUAAAUUUCUGAAAUAAGUACUAAGAGAAAAAUCGAAUAAACAGUAGUAAAUUUUGUGAUUAGAAGAAAACAAUGAUACAAGUAAAAUAACAUGUUCUACUACUAAAAUCACACUUUGAUUAUGGUUGUAGAAAAUCAAGUGUUUUUCUUAUGUAUUAACUUUCAAUUAAUUUUAAUCACAAAAAUCAGUCAAGAUUAGUUGUCAAGAUUAUUCUUCACUCAUCAUAGUUCUACAAAAUAAAUAAGUAAAUAAAACCAAUUUUCAUGCAUCUUCUAUUCUACACAUGUCACACACCCUAAUUUAAUGUUCGUUCAACACUUCAAUUUCAAAAACCAUCAUCUCAUAAAUAACAUGAUUCCAACCUUCUUAUACUAUUUAUUAGUUUUUUUACCCUGCAUAAUUUGAUUAUUUCGGCAAAUUCUUCAUAUUUUUGGCUGAACUCAAAAUUUUAUUCAAUUGUAAUAAAUAAUAUGUCAAUAUUUCAAAAAAAAUCAAAUUUAUAAAACAUAUUUAACAAUGAUUAUCAUAUGCUAAUUAAGAUAUUAUUUCUUCGAUUUUUUAAAAAUGUUGGUUAGAUUUUUAUAUAUAUUUUUCCUUUUUAUUUAAUUUUGUUUUAUUAUUUUAAAAAAAACUUAGAACUAAUUGAUUCUUUUGGAUUCUAAUGGUGAUAAUUUUGAGUUUGCAAAUAUCAAGUUUCUUUACUCUGUAAACUAAUCGCAAUACUUGAGUCAUAAUUACAAAAUUGAUAUAAAUAUUCAAAUAUAUAUAUAUAUAUAUAUAUAUAUAUAUAUAAACAGUGACUCAUUUUCUUUUAUGAUCAUUGUAUGUGUUGCGUCUAAUCUUACAAAGUAUUGUCUCAUGCUUGUUUGUAAUCCCAAAAGAUCAAGUAACAAUACAUGACUCAAUCUAUUUUAAAUUCUACUGUUUUAUCUUGGCAUACAAAAUAUAUAUAAUUUUAAAAUGUUGUGUGUUGUCCACACAAAUUAAAUUUGUAUUCAUAUAUUGUUGAGGUUUAUAAUACUUCAAGGUCAAAUUGCCAAUAAAACUCAUAGUCUUGUGCAUGUUUAUUCAAUCUUGUCAAGCCUUCAAUCCAUACACCAUAACUUGAAUGUUUUUUUCCAGAUAAAUAAAAAUAAUAGCCAUAAUAAUGAACCUAAAAAAAAUAAAGUUAAAAAAUAAUAAUUUAUUUUUGUUUACAGUAACUUCAAAUCCCCUAUACUAUCAUGAAUUGUGAAGAAUUGUCAAAUUUUCAGUUGAUUUUGGUAUUAUAUUGAUGUUAAGUUAAUUAAAGACGUGGAAGCAUAAAGCCUUCUAAAUUUUACUAAAACCGACUUUCUUAGUGUCAAAAAUUGUUUGGUAAUGUUCAAAAGCUGAAAAAAAUUCCAUUACUAAUUAUUUGAUUGAUUUAAUAGUGUCUUUAGUUUUUUCUUAAUCAAUACAAUAAAGUGAUGCUAUCAAUUUGUAGUUCAAUUCGUUUUUAUAUUUUAAAGUUGAGGAUAAUAGACAAUUUCAAGUUAUUUCAAACUCUAAUUCAAAAUAAUUUACUUUUAUUUAUUUGUUUUAAAUUUUUCUCAAAUUUCUUCUCUGUUGAUUCCAUAUGUGUCUAUCUUGCCUUCUAACCAGCAUUCUAUUUAUUUUAUAAAAAAUAGAAUUCGAAAAUAUUUCUUUUAUUUAAUUAAUUUUGAAAAUAUAAACUUAAAUUAAAUUUGGUUACAGGUACAACAUUCAAUAUUUUUCAACAUUGUGUGUGAUGCAAAUGUCGUGGCAUUUAAAUGUAUGCUAGCCAUUUUAUAAUUUAGAAUUUAAUAUUUAUAAAAAAUCCUUCUACAUGUGAAGCUUAUCAAUUUUUCUAUAAUUAGAAUCAGUGUUUCGUAUGGCACGUUUUAAAUCUUUUAUUUCAUAUCGUCUAUUACUAUUGACUGGCUUUUGAAUUUCGAGUUUAAUUAUGAUCU
This 2481-nucleotide long non-coding RNA is filed under the name Physcomitrium patens. Its description in RNAcentral is "long non-coding RNA (PPAT_LNC003725)". The record is from RNAcentral. Lineage: Eukaryota; Viridiplantae; Streptophyta; Bryopsida; Funariales; Funariaceae.